Molecule: long non-coding RNA, 728 nt
Filed under: Homo sapiens (human)
Lineage: Eukaryota; Metazoa; Chordata; Mammalia; Primates; Hominidae
Description: non-protein coding LINC02201:15
Source: RNAcentral
AGAAGUCUACUGAGACUGGCUUCUUUUCACCAACAAAAAGACAAAGCCCUUCAAGGAGAAGUCUUUAGGCCUAAUUGCCUCAUUUUUGCCUGGAACAUGGAUGUGAUUUCUGGAGGCGCACCAGCCACUGCAGGGCCCUGUUCAUAAAGUUAUGGAUGCUCACAUGUGCAAAGUUAAAGGGCCACAUCUGGUGAGGGCUUUCUUGCUGGUGAGGAUUCUCUGAAGAGUAUUGAGGCAGCAGAGGACAUCACAUGACAGAUUUCUUCCGAGUCACCGGUGGGAGCUUCCCAGGGAGAUGCGGCUUUAUUCCCUCAUGGCAGACAGGAGGAGGAUGCUGAGCGGGAGCUGAUGCCACCUGGCAGCAAUGGUGGCACAGACUGCUGGAGAGGCACAGAUUGGAACCCAAGCCUCAUCAGACGGCAGCUGUGACAGCGGCAUAUUUCAAAAAUGUAUUGCAAAUUUCACACAAGGGGUCUUUAAAAAAAUUUGAAAGUCUCCUUGGCUUUCACAGACUUUUAAUUAAGAGAGAACUCCUCUUCUUUGAAAAUCAAAACACUUUUUGCCUAUUUUAUGUAUCUAAAGGUAGAUGGGAACUUACAGCCACAUUUAAAAAAUUUGCAGUUGAUUAUGUGGUUUUCAAAUUUAAUAACCUACUAUGAAUAAUUAACUCAACAAGAAGAAAAGGGCACAUUGGCACCUCACAAUUAAAAGAGUAAGAGUGAAAUUAU